CGAGUGGCGGACGGGUGAGUAAUGUCUGGGAAACUGCCUGAUGGAGGGGGAUAACUACUGGAAACGGUAGCUAAUACCGCAUAACGUCGCAAGACCAAAGAGGGGGACCUUCGGGCCUCUUGCCAUCGGAUGUGCCCAGAUGGGAUUAGCUAGUAGGUGGGGUAACGGCUCACCUAGGCGACGAUCCCUAGCUGGUCUGAGAGGAUGACCAGCCACACUGGAACUGAGACACGGUCCAGACUCCUACGGGAGGCAGCAGUGGGGAAUAUUGCACAAUGGGCGCAAGCCUGAUGCAGCCAUGCCGCGUGUAUGAAGAAGGCCUUCGGGUUGUAAAGUACUUUCAGCGGGGAGGAAGGGAGUAAAGUUAAUACCUUUGCUCAUUGACGUUACCCGCAGAAGAAGCACCG
This 407-nucleotide ribosomal RNA is filed under the name Escherichia fergusonii. RNAcentral describes it as "bacterial SSU rRNA". It matches the Rfam family "Bacterial small subunit ribosomal RNA", at positions 92 to 495 of the family's 1533-position model. Lineage: Bacteria; Pseudomonadati; Pseudomonadota; Gammaproteobacteria; Enterobacterales; Enterobacteriaceae. The record is from RNAcentral.